RNAcentral lists this ribosomal RNA (500 nucleotides) under uncultured bacterium. Its description in RNAcentral is "partial 16S ribosomal RNA". It matches the Rfam family "Bacterial small subunit ribosomal RNA", at positions 30 to 523 of the family's 1533-position model. The record is from RNAcentral.
AUUGAACGCUGGCGGCAUGCCUUACACAUGCAAGUCGAACGGCAGCACGGGAGCAAUCCUGGUGGCGAGCGGCGAACGGGUGAGUAAAGUAUCGGAACGUGCCCAGUCGUGGGGGAUAACGUAGCGAAAGUUACGCUAAUACCGCAUACGAUCUAUGGAUGAAAGCGGGGGAUCGCAAGACCUCGCGCGAUUGGAGCGGCCGAUAUCAGAUUAGGUAGUUGGUGGGGUAAAGGCUCACCAAGCCGACGAUCUGUAGCUGGUCUGAGAGGACGACCAGCCACACUGGGACUGAGACACGGCCCAGACUCCUACGGGAGGCAGCAGUGGGGAAUUUUGGACAAUGGGCGAAAGCCUGAUCCAGCCUUGCCGCGUGUAGGAUGAAGGCCUUCGGGUUGUAAACUGCUUUUGUACGGAACGAAAAGGUUUGGCCUAAUAAGCUGGACCCAUGACGGUACCGUAAGAAUAAGCACCGGCUAACUACGUGCCAGCCGCCGCAGUAA